Molecule: ribosomal RNA, 323 nt
Filed under: Cytobacillus firmus
Lineage: Bacteria; Bacillati; Bacillota; Bacilli; Caryophanales; Bacillaceae
Description: bacterial SSU rRNA
Rfam family: Bacterial small subunit ribosomal RNA
Source: RNAcentral
ANNGCGNCNUANCAUGCAGUCGAGCGGACAGAUGGGAGCUUGCUCCCUGAAGUCAGCGGCGGACGGGUGAGUAACACGUGGGCAACCUGCCUGUAAGACUGGGAUAACUCCGGGAAACCGGGGCUAAUACCGGAUAAUUCUUUCCCUCACAUGAGGGAAAGCUGAAAGAUGGUUUCGGCUAUCACUUACAGAUGGGCCCGCGGCGCAUUAGCUAGUUGGUGAGGUAACGGCUCACCAAGGCAACGAUGCGUAGCCGACCUGAGAGGGUGAUCGGCCACACUGGGACUGAGACACGGCCCAGACUCCUACGGNAGGGCAGCAGA